Molecule: ribosomal RNA, 752 nt
Filed under: uncultured microorganism
Description: bacterial SSU rRNA
Rfam family: Bacterial small subunit ribosomal RNA
Source: RNAcentral
GUCGAACGAGGUGCUUGAGUAGCAAUACAAGAGUAUCCUAGUGGCGAACGGGUGAGUAACGCGUUGGUGACCUACCCCAAAGUGUGGGAUAACAGUUCGAAAGAACUGCUAAUACCGCAUGUGGUUAUCGGAUUUAGAAACUGAUAACUAAAGGAGCAAUUCGCUUUGGGAGGGACCUGCGUCCCAUCAGCUAGUUGGUGAGGUAAUGGCUCACCAAGGCUACGACGGGUAGGGGACCUGAGAGGGUGACCCCCCACAAUGGGACUGAAACACGGUCCAUACACCUACGGGUGGCAGCAGUAGGGAAUAUUGCACAAUGGGCGAAAGCCUGAUGCAGCAACGCCGCGUGUGCGAUGAAGGCCCUCGGGUCGUAAAGCGCUUUUCUGAGGGAUGAGCAAGGACAGUACCUCAGGAAUAAGUCUCGGCUAACUACGUGCCAGCAGCCGCGGUAAAACGUAGGAGGCAAGCGUUAUCCGGAUUCACUGGGCGUAAAGCGCGUGCAGGCGGUUCGGUAAGUUGGGUAUGAAAUCUCCUGGCUUAACUAGGAGAGGUUAUCCAAUACUACCGGACUUGAGAGUGAUAGAGGAAGAUGGAAUUCCCGGUGUAGUGGUGAAAUGCGUAGAUAUCGGGAGGAACACCAGUGGCGAAAGCGAUCUUCUGGAUCAUUUCUGACGCUCAGACGCGAAAGCUAGGGUAGUAAACGGGAUUAGAGACCCCGGUAAUCCUAGCCGUAAACGAUGUAAACUUGGCGU